UGGUAAUGUUAUCUUACCUGUAACUAGUAGUUAACAUUCCAUUUAGACGCGUCUCUCUUUGGUUUUCGUGACGUAUCUUCGUAAAUAUGAUGAGUCCGGGUAUCUGAAAGAUAAGCGAGUCUUAUCCUGCACUCUUCAAUUCGUUGUCAAAGCGAGUUUCUUCAGUUCAAAAGCAGGCAUUAUUUCUCAUAAUGUUAAAAGAGGCUUAUUCUUAUGAUUUAGUAGGGAAA
RNAcentral lists this unclassified non-coding RNA (230 nucleotides) under Hevea brasiliensis (rubber tree). Lineage: Eukaryota; Viridiplantae; Streptophyta; Magnoliopsida; Malpighiales; Euphorbiaceae. The record is from RNAcentral.